AACAUGGCCUUUUGAUAAUGAUUUAAGGUCCGGCCUGCCCAAUGAGAUAUUCAAUGGCUGCAGUAUUUUGACUGUACAAAGGUAGCAUAAUCAUUAGUUUUUUAAUUAAAAGCUUGUAUGAAUGGCUUAAUGAGAAAAAAACUGUCUUUAUUUAAGUUUUAUAGAAUUUUAUUUUUAAGUUAAAAAGCUUAAAUUUUAUUAAAAGACGAGAAGACCCUAUAGAGUUUUAUAAUACAAUAAUUUAUAUAUUUGAAUAAUUUAAUUUUUAUUUAGUUAAAGUAUUAUUUAGUUGGGGUGACUUAAAAAUUUAAUUAACUUUUAUAUUUUAAAACAUUUAUUUAUGAUUAAUUGAUCCACAAUUUGUGAUUAAAAGAUUAAAUUACCUUAGGGAUAACAGCGUAAUUUUUUUGGAGAGUUCUUAUCAAUAAAAAAGUUUGCGACCUCGAUGUUGGAUUAAAAUUAACUAUUGGCGCAGAAGUUAAUGGGUUAGGUCUGUUCGACCUUUAAAAUUUUACAUGAUCUGAGUUUAAACCGGUGUGAGCCAGG
This 546-nucleotide ribosomal RNA is filed under the name Anticura flinti. RNAcentral describes it as "partial large subunit ribosomal RNA". It matches the Rfam family "Bacterial large subunit ribosomal RNA", at positions 1812 to 2630 of the family's 2925-position model. The record is from RNAcentral. Lineage: Eukaryota; Metazoa; Arthropoda; Insecta; Coleoptera; Hydrophilidae.